RNAcentral lists this ribosomal RNA (263 nucleotides) under uncultured bacterium. Its description in RNAcentral is "partial 16S ribosomal RNA". It matches the Rfam family "Bacterial small subunit ribosomal RNA", at positions 793 to 1055 of the family's 1533-position model. The record is from RNAcentral.
GUCCUUGCCGUAAACGAUGUAUACUUGAUGUAAUUGGGCUCAACCCUGAUUGUGUCGAAGCUAACGCGAUAAGUAUACCGCCUGGGGAGUACGCUCGCAAGGGUGAAACUCAAAAGAAUUGACGGGGGCCCGCACAAGCAGUGGAGCAUGUGGUUUAAUUCGAUGCAACGCGAAGAACCUUACCCAGGCUCGAAAUGUAAUAGACGCUAUCAGAGAUGAUAGUUUCCGCAAGGACUGUUAUAUAGGUGCUGCAUGGCUGUCGU